ACAGAGUCUUCUCACUCUGUCGCCCAGGCUGGAGUGCAGUGGUGUGAUCUUGGCUCACUGCAACCUCUACCUCCUGGGUUCAAGUGAUUCUCCUGCCUCAGUCUCCCAAGUAGCUGGGAUUAUAGACGUGCCUGCUUCCCCUUCGCCUUCUGCCGUGAUUGUCAGUUUCCUGAGGCCUCCCCAGCCAUGCUUCCUGUACAGCCUGCAGAACUGCUGGGAAGUCCAAGAUCAAGGUGCUGGCAUUUUGCCAGGGCCUUCUUGCUGUGUCACCACAUCCAUGGCUGAAGGUAGAAGGGUCAAGAGAGAGUGAGAAGCUAGGCACGGUGGUUCACGCCUGUAAUCCCAGCACUUUGGUUCACGCCUGUAAUCCCAGCACUUUGGGAGGCCAAGGUGGGUGGAUUACUUGAGCUCAGGAGUUCAAGACCAGCCUGGACAAUAUGGUGAAACCCUGUCUCCACCAAAAAUACAAAAAAAAAUUAGCCAGGCAUGGUGGCGUGCAACUGUAGUCCCAGCUACUCAGGAGGCUGAGGUGGGAGGAUUACUUGAGCCCAAGAGGAGGAGGCUGCAGUGAGUCAACAUUGCACCACUGCACUCCAGCCUGGGCAACAGAGUGUGACCCCAUCUCAAAAAAAAAAAAAAAAAAAAGAGAGAGGGUGAGAAAGAAAAAGAGAGCUGAACUCGCCCUUUUAUAACAAACCCACUCUAGCAAUAACAACAUUAAUCAUUCACUGCACCCUCAUGGCCUAAUUGUCACAGGACAGACUCCAAAAUUGGGGUUCAUCUUGGAAGGCCACACAGAUUUUUGGCUUUGUGCAGGAAGGAAUUCAAGAGCAAGCUGACAGAGUGAAGUGAAAGCAAGUUUAUUAAGAAAAUAAAGGAAGAAAAGGGUGGCUACUCCAUAGGCAGAGCAGCCCUGAGGGCUUCUGGUUGGCUAUUUUUAUGGUUAUUUCUUGAUCAUAUGCUAAACAAGGGGUGGACUAUUCAUGAGUUUUCCAGGAAAAGAGGCAGGGAAUUCCCAGAACUGAGAGUUCCUCUCACUUUCAGACCAUAUAAGAUAACUUUCGGAUGCUCUCAUGGCAUUUGUAAAUUGUCAUGGUGCUGGUGGGGCUUUCCUUUGGUAUGCUAAUGUAUUAUAAUCAGGGUGUAAAGAGCAGCGAGGAUGACCAGAAGUUGCUAUAAUCGCCAUCUUGGUUUUGGUUGGCUUUUUUUUUUUUUUUUUUUCUGAGACGAGCUCUUGCUUGCUCUGUCGCCUAGGCUGGAGUGUAGUGACGUAACUAUAUAUCACUGCAGCCUAGACCACCUGGGCUCAAGCAAUCCUCCUGCCUCGGCCUCCCAAGUAGCUGGGACUACAGGCACAUGCCACCACACCCAGCUAUUUUUUUGUAUUUUUAAUAGAGGUGAGGUCUUGCUAUGUUGCCCAGGCUGGGCUUGAACUUCUGAGCUCAAGCAAUCCUCCAAGUUUGGCCUCCCAAAGUGCUGGGAUUACAGGCAUGAGCCACCGUACCUGGUCUUGGCAAGCUUCUUUACUGCACCCUGUUUUAUCAGCAGUCUUUGUGAUCUGUGUCUUGUGAAACCAGUCCUGGUGAACUCCUAUCUCAUAAUCACGUCUCAUUAGGCCCACCUACCAAUACUGUUGCAUUGGGGAUUAAGUUCCCAUCACAUGCUCUUUGGGGGGAUACUUUUUUUUUUUUUUUGAGAUGGAGUCUUGCUGUGACAUCCAGGCUGGAGUGCAAUGGCACAACCUCGGAUCACUGCAAACUCUGCCUUCUGUUUUCAAGUGAUUCUCCUGCCUCAGCCUCCUGAGUAGCUGGAACUAUAGACAUGCACCACCAAGCCCAGCUAAUUUUUGUAUUUUUAAUAGAGAUGGGGUUUCACCAUGUUGGCCAGGCUGGUCUCGAGCUCCUGAGUUCAGGUGAUCCGCCUGCCUCAGCCUCCCACAGUGCUUGGAUUCCAGGCAUGAACUGCCAUGCCCGGCCUAGGGGAUACUUUCAAACCAUAGAAGGGCUCUUAUCCCCUAUGCUCAUGUUUUCCCCCUCUACUGCUCUGGAGUGAAUUAGAUUAUGCUGACAUUCCUGGGCCCUCGUCUCUAUCCCCUCCUUAAAGGAGUAAGAUGCUUCGUAGUGGUGAGAAUGGCGUUUCCUAAUCCCCACCUGAUAUGGUUUGAAUAUGUGUCUCCACCCAAAUCUCAUGUUGAAAUGUAAUCCCUGAUGCUGAAGGUGGGUCCUGGUGGGAGGUGAUUGGACCAUGGGGGUAGUUUCUCAUGGUUUAGUACCAUCCCCCCCUUGGUACUAUACAGUAAGUUAGUUCUCAUAAGACAUGGUUGUUUAAAAGUGUGAGGCACCUCCCCUGUCUCUCUUCCUCCUGCUCCUGCCAUGUAAGACGUGCCUCUCCUUUCUCUUCACCUUCUGCCACGAUUGUAAGUUUCCCAAGACCUCCUCAGCCAUGCUUCCUAUACAGUCUGCAGAACCAGAAGCCAAUUAAACAUCUUCCCUUUAAAAAUUACCCAGUCUCAGGUAUUUCUUUAUAGCAAUGUGAGAACAGACUAAUACACUACCUGAGCAAGGGUUAAUGUGUUGGCAGACAGCCUAAGCCCUCUGAUUUACUGAGUCACAGGCACAAAGGAACUGCAGGCUCCUCCCUGCAGGUGCAUAGAGGGACCCUCUCUCUCCCAUCAGCAUGCACACAAAUCUUGCAGGGGAAUGGAGGCCCCAGUUGAUUGAAAAAACUAUUUUGACUUUUCAACAGUCCAAGUUAUUUCAUCCAACUUCUCCUAAGCAAAUAAUCAGAGUAUAAAUUUCUAGUAGUUCUCAGUAAGAGACAAUUAGCUACCCAGUUAAUUAGCUUCCUCAAUAAGGGGGGAGGCAAAGACAUUAACGGAGGCUUCAGUGUGUUUGAUAAGUGUUUGCAAGUAGAAGAAGCCCAGAGAAUUGCAGAACGUUUGCCUGCUGCGAUUUUUUUUUCUUUUUCUUUUUUUUUCAGACAGAGUCUUGCUCUGUCACCCAGGCUGGAGUGCAGUGGCGCAAUCUCAGCUCACUGCAAGCUCCGCCUCCCAAGUUCACGCCAUUCUCCUGCCUCAGCCUCCCGAGUAGCUGGGACUACAGGGCCUGCCACCACGCCCGGCUAAUUUUUUGUAUUUUUAGUAGAGACGGGGUUUCACUGUGUUAGCCAGGAUGGUCUCGAUCUCCUGACCUCGUGAUCCGCCCACCUCGGCCACCCAAAGUGCUGGGAUUACAGGCAUGAGCCACCGCGCCUGGCCUGCAGAUUUUUUUUUUUUUACAAAGAUGUGCUGUCUUUGUUCCCCCAGAAAUGUGUGGUUUCCCUGACAGUCAGAUGCAUCCCUGCCUGCCUUAAACAAACAAAGGUCUGUGAUCACUUUCUUUAACAUCAAGGCCAGAGUUCCUGAAAUCAAUGAGAAAUUCUAAACAUACCAGGAUGCCUUACAAACAGGUGGGCUUUUUGUUCUCCAGAUAAUGCAAUGAAUUUAAAACAUUGUACCAAACAUCUUCAAAACCUAGUCAUGAAAGUAACAUGCUUUAUUACAUUAAAUGAAAUUAAAUCAGUAGAGGACAAAUGCACUAAGGAGGCUAAUGGCCACCAUGAUUAGUCACUGCUAACUUGCAUGAAAUCAAUAGUAACCAAGAGGAGUUCAUCAGUUUGCACUGAAACAAAACGUGAGAGAAGAAUCCAGCAUACUGGAAGAACAACGAAAAAGAUUAAAUAAUCUUUUAGCUGGGAAAAAUAUGUUGUUUUGAAUAUUUUGAGUUUAUUUUAACUUCAACGAUAAGCUUAAUUCCAAUUUCAGGAUAUUAUUUAAGGAAAAGCUUAGACGUGUACUCCACAAAGAAUUAAGAAACACAAGUCCUCAUAACUUUUAUUAUGUUCUUUUGAUUAAAAUAAUACAUAUUCAUUCCUAUAUGCUCCUUCAUAUUACAAAUGAUUUUUACAUCAUGAAGAUGAUGCUAUUCUGUGUUCUGUAUUCUGUUUCGAACUUAGAAUUAUACUUCAUAAACAUCUUCUGUGACUAAAACUUCUCCAAAAACUUUCACUGGCUGCUGGCGUUCCACUAAAAGUGUCAUCAAUGACCCCAUCAAAGGAUAUUUUUCUGUCAUCCUCCCAGAAUUCACUUCUCAUUGGCAUCUGGUCCUGUCAAUUCUUCUUUUUUUUUUUUUUUUUUUUUGAGAUAGAGUCUUGCUCUGUCACCCAGGCUUGGAGUGCAGUGGUGCGAUCUCACCUCACUGCAACCUCCGCCUCCCAGGCUUAAGCGAUUCUCCUUCCUCAGCCUCCCAAGUAGCUGGGACUACAGGUGUGUGCCACCACCUCCAGCUAAUUUUUUGUAUUCUUAGCAGAGACAAGGUUUCACCAUGUUAGCUAGGCUAGGCUCAAACUCCUGCCUCAAGUGAUCUGCCUGCCUCGGCCUCUCAAUGUGCUGGGAUAACAGAUAUGAGCCACCGUGCCUGGCUGAUUAGUCUUUUCUUGAUCCACUCUUCCCACUGGAUUUCUGUGACUCCACGGCCUGGUGUCUCUCCUAAAACUGCCUUUGCAAAAAAUUAUAACAGUAAGGAAAUGACGACAGUGAAAGAUUGGAUCUCACCAAUCCCCAUCUUGCCUUCAACAUCCAAACUGCCUUUAAUCAUAUCUGGGCUUGGGCCAAGCAAACUUUGGGAGACAUUUAGUUUAUAGUUUAAAUGAUAAUAUCCCUUCUCCAAAACUCAACCGCCUUCGUAAAGCUAAUGAGAGACCACCAGGCGAGGAGGAUGAGAAGAGUCUGAAUUCUGCUGAGAUGUAGACUAAACAAUUACCAGCCAUUAUUCCAGAGGUCACAAGAUUUGCAACCCCCCAAUAACUCCUACAGAUAACGUCACUAUUACAGAAACUAAGAUUGGCCUUUUGAGAUAAGGUUUCAGGUUUGUGCAUUUCCGACAACCAACGGCUCCACUUGGACCCACCAAACUCCCUCUGGCCCCACCCAGAAGUGAACUCGGCAGACAAGGACCAUUUUUCACACCCCUAUGAUUGCAUCCCCAACCGAUUAGCAGCACCCCUACCCUAGCCCCCUGCCCACCAAAUUAUCAUUACCUCUGAAUUUUCAGGGAGAUCAAGUUGAGUAAUAAUAAAACUCCAGUCUCUCAUUCAGCUAGCUGUAUGUGAAGUAAGCUCUUUCUCUAUUGCAAUUGCCCUGUCUGGGUAAGUCAGCUGUCUCUGGACAGCCAGCAAAAUGAACUCAUUGCACACGGUUACACUCUCAUCUCUACCUGCUGUAGACUCGCCUCCUCUGUUGGAGCUCAUCAAGGCUGGGUCUCUCCUGUUCUCAUUUUAUUCUCUCUCCUUAGGUGAUCUCAGCCCUCCUCCAGGCUUCGAUUAUAACUUACAGGAUUGUGAUUCACACAUUUCAGUUUCCAUCACAGGCCCCUCCAGACAUGUCCAUCUGCCUGCUGUGUUGACUUUUCCCUUUGGAGUCUUGAGGCAGCUACAAGCUUACUGACCAGAAAUGAACUCAAGCUCUCCCUGAAGCCUGGUCCUCUUCCAGGAUCAGCCAGCCUGGAAGAUGGCACUGUCAUCCACCCUGUUCUCAGGCCUGCCACCCAGGAGUCAACCUUAGCCCCAUCUAAUUGUCAGAGGCAUCUGAACCAGAGCAACUCCAUCUUGAGUAGGGGAUGGGUAAAAUGAGGCUGAGACCUGCUGGGCUGCAUUCCCAGACAGCCAAGGCAUUAGCCACAGGAUAAGAUAGGCAGUCGGUACAAGACACAGGUCAUAAAGACCUUGCUGAUAAAACAGUUUGCAGUAAAGAAGCCAGCCAAAACCCACUAAAACCAAGAUGGCAACCAGAGUGACCUCUGGUCGUCCUCACUGCUACCCUCCCACCAGCACCAUGACAGUUUACAAAUGCCAUGGCAAUGUCAGAAAGUUACCCUACAGGGUCUAAAAAGGGGAGGCAUGAAUAAUCUACCCCUUGUUUAGCAUAUCAUCAAGAAAUAACCAUAAAAAUAGGCAACCAGCAGCCCUCAGGGAUGCUCUGUCUAUGGAGUAGUCAUUCUUUUGUUCCUUUACUCUCUUAAUAAACUUGCUUUCACUUUACUCUAUGGACUCGCCCUGAAUUCUCUCUUGUGCAAGAUCCAAGAACCCUCUCUUGGGUUCUGGAUCGGGACCCCUUUCCUGUAACAUAAUCAAUUUGGUGCCAAAUGCAUGAAGUGUUAUCUUCUAGGUCUCUCAAAUCCAUCCACUGUUCUCCAUCCAGGAGAGUGUCACCAGGGCUGGCACAGAUGGUUGCAUACUGCAGAAAGGUCACCACCCAAGCCAUUACCUCUCACCUGUUCCAUGAAAAUACCAACUCAUCUCCUUCCCUUUUGGCCUCUCCAAGCCAUAUUCCAACCCACAGCUAAAAUGAUUUCAUUAAAAUGCAAAUCUAAUGUUGUUCCUUUGCAUAAUUGCUCUGGGGAGAGGUCUGGCCUCUGUCUCCCUGAGUCAUCACCCAUUAUGUGUCCCUGGUGUCCCCAUGUGGCCUGGCUCUUUCCUUCACUUUCCACAUCAUCCUUCAGCUCCAGCCACUGUGGCCUUCCUGCAGCUGCCCAGGUGUGUCACGCUCCAGUAUUUGUCCAUUUUCACGCUGCUGAUAAAGACAUACCUGAGACUGGGUAAUUUAUAAAGAAAAAGAGGUUUAAUGGACUCACAGUUCCACGUGGCUGGGGAGGCCUCACAAUCACGGUGGAAGGUGAAAGUGACGUCUUACAUGGUGGCAGACAAGAGAAGAGAACUUGUGCAGGGAAACUCCCCUUUAUAAAACCAUCAGAUCUUGUGAGACUUAUUCACUAUCUCGAGAAUAGCACAGGAAAGACCCACCUCCAUGUUUCAAUUACCUCCCACUUGGUCCCUCCCGCAAAACAUUAGAAUUAUGGGAGCUACAAUUCCAGAUGAGAUUUGGGUGGGGACAGAGUCAAACCGUAUCAGUCUCCAUAAAUGCCCUAUGAUGUAAUCUAUAAUUAUCCCAAUUUUUUUGUUUGUUUUUUUUUUUUUGAGAUGGAGUCUCACUCUGUCACUCAGGCUGAAGUGCAGUUGCACAAUCUCCACUCACUGCAACCUCUGCCACUCAGGUUUAAGCAAUUCUCCUGCUGCAGCCUCUGCCACCCAGAUUCAAGCAGUUCUCCUGCCUCAGCCUCCCAAGUAGCUGUGAUUACAGAUGUGCACCACCACGUUCAGUUAAUGUUCGUAUUUUUAGUAGAGACGGGGUUUCACCAUGUUGGCCAGGCUGGUCUCAAACUUCUGACCUCAAGUGAUUCGCCCGCCUCGGCCUCCUAAAGUGCUGGGAUUACAGGCGUGAGCCAUGGUGCCCACCCAGCCAUUAUCCCCAUUUUAAAAAAUGAGGAAGCGGAGUCCCAUAGGGCUAAAGUAAUUGGCCCAGGGCCAUAAAAUCAUUAAGUAGCAGAGCCUGGAUUUCUUAAGCAGGCCCCAGAGUCCAAGUCCUUAACCAUUAUACUCCUGUCUCUCUAAUGACACAGCAAGGUCAGAAAUGCUGCUCUAGUUGGUAAGCGAAGAAAGUGAGCUGGUUGAGCUGUGGUACAGAAAGCCAGUGCUUGCUAGCAUGUCCACACUGAACCAGGAUACAGCCCUCCCUUCCCAUUUCACAUAUAGAGACAAAAAAGAAAAUUCAUGUUAUCAGCGGUCUGUCCUACUGAGAAAUAAAGUCUUUGCUUCCUUAACCAAUUCAGCAGUCAAAGGUGUGCUUUGAAGAUGUGCUUAGGAAUAUUCUCCUGAUUCCCUAGAAGUCGGAGUGGACUACGCAUUCCCUCUCUCACCCAGCUCUUCCAGCUCUCAUCCUGGUGCCCCACACCAAGAGAGGGCCCAGGUCUCUCCACAGGUCAUGUGGGCCAGACCCUGCCUCCAUCAGAACUGCCCCAAUCUAUCCACUCCUAGAACUGUCUCUGCAAGAAAAUCAGCCUGAGGUUUUUGUGGCACAAAGAUGUAUCCCCAUUCAUUCCAAGUAGCAAAUGCAUUUUCUGGAAACAUAGUGCUUGAAUCCAGCAUGAUGAGUCAUAUGGCAGAAGGGAGAAGCCAGCAGAGGAAGGGCCCUUGGGACCAUCCCAGCCCCCAGGAGCUGGCCCUCUCUGCAGGAACCAUCUGGUUCCAUAGCAUGCUUUCUAAGCUCCCAUAUAUAUUUUUAAAUCAACUAUAUGGAAGCGUAAGGUAAAUAAAUACACUGCAUCUAUUUAAAGUGUGCAAUCUGAUGAGUUUUGCCAGAUGUGUGCACCUGUGAAGCUGCUCUUGAAAUCAAGAUUCAGAACAUUUCCAUCUCCCUCAAGGAUUUCUCAUGCUCCUUUUCUAACCCCAGCUCUCAGGCAGCCACCACUUGCCCACUGUGAGACAUUUGUUUUCUAUAUUCAGUUUGGGAUUGGGCAUUUGGAAUUUUUCCAAAGGCAGCAUCCUCUGUAGAUGUCUACAGGCCCCUGGAGACAGAGCAUCUUCUCAGGCCUGUAUCCUCCAUGCCUGGGACUGGGUCCUUGCUCUCAGGACAGCCUAGAGGGGCUCCUGUCCACUGCUGGGCUGCCUCUUUCUUUGCUUGGCCCAGCUUCCCAAACACCCAGGAUAAUAAAGGAGAAACUCUGUCAAUUUCAAUAAUAUGCACAUGUACUUGCAGUCAUAAGAAACCAUUCUUCUGGGCUUUAACCAAGCAAUAAAUAAAUUUACUCCAAAGCAGAUCUGAAUUAAUGGAAUAUAUCUCUCUGUCUCUUGAGUAGAAGCUGGGAAACCUGAACUUUUCUUUUUUGGUGUUUGUUUUAGAGAUAGGAUCUUGCUCUGUCACCUAGGCUGGAAUGCAGUGGUGCAGUCAUAGUUCACUGCAGCCUUAACUUCCUGGGCUCAAGUGAUCCUCCUGCCUCAGCCUCCCGAGUAGCUGGGACUACAAGCAUGUGCCACCAUGCCCAGCUAGUUUAUUUUAUUUUAUUUUUAUAGAGACGGUGUUUCACUAUGUUACCCAGGCUGGUCUUGAACUCCUAGCCUCAAGUGAUCCUCCUGCCUCACCCUCCCAAAGUGCUGGGAUUACAGGUGUGAGCCCCUGUGCCCAGCCAAGAAACCUACAUUUUGCAUUUAGCCAUUGUUUUCUACACUGACUGCUGGAUUUUAAAAUCAAGAGAAAGGCCUCUAAUAGGAAAGCAAUUGCAAGCCAUGUUUUUAUUGAUAAUCUGAUGGAUUUUGCCGUGUUCUGGAGUCAUUCUGCAAUUAUUUAUCUGGUUUUUGUUUAUCUGGCUGUAACCUGCAUAUUCUAGUUUUCCUUCAAGGCUGUUAAAUUUGGGUUAAUAGUUGUAUGUGUCUCUUAGAUCACCUCAAAUGGAAAAUUCUUUUCCCCUAAAUGAGAAUUAAUUGUAUUUGAGCUCAGAGGGUUUUUUCCUAAUCCAUUAGGGUGUGGAUAAUGACGUUCAUUUCUCCUCAUGAGCCCAGGAGCCAAAUAGAGUAAUCCCAUUCACUUCCAAAGACAUUUAUAGAGCAUUUGAUUUUUGCAAGAUACUUUUGUUGGUCCUUAAUGCUGGAUAAAAAUGGGUAUAAUGCUGCUAAAAAUAACAAUAAGAAAAUCCUAUAGCAAAGAAAGACACAUUUAUAAAAUACGAGAUUAUGUAAGUUGGAACAAUCAUAUCUGGGUGGGGGCUAUAUGGAGCCAGUGGAGACAGGGUGGGGCUAGGGAGAGAAUAUCCUGCAUAUACAGGGAAGGCAGGCUGGACGGUCAGCUGUUGUUGAGAAACCUCAUAUCAUCUAUCAGACUAAGCCAGAAAAGCAAGAGUUACACCUGAAAAGGUAAGUGGGACCAUAGAGUAAAAAGUCAUGGUAGAAAGUUUAUUCUUAAAUUGGUGGACCAUGAGAGCAAUGGAAGAUUGAGGCAAGGAAUGGUAUGGUUAUAACCUGCAGGACUGGGUAGGGUAGAUGGGAACUGUGAGGGUCUGGAGGCAAGAGAACCAGUGAUAAAGAUCUGUCUUUAUCUGCAUCUGUCUCAGAAUAGUAAGAAUAUUCGGGUCUCAGAAUAGUCUGGAAUUUUGGGAGGAAAUAUUUAGAGGCAGGAAUUGGAGGACAUGCAAAUUUGUGGAUGAAAGGAUGAGGGAGGGGAAGGGCGCAAAGUUGAUUCAAGUGCACAAGUCUAGAACUAGGGGACUCUGGGUGCGUAACAGGGAGCUAAUUGUCUAUUGGCUCCACACUGCAGGAAUGAGAGUCACAAGUUUCAGGCAGUCGUAAACUCAGAGAAUAAUGCAUUAUCCAUCCUUCUCCUCCCACUAGCAGGAUUACCUUGGCAACAGUGAGCAUCAUCAUACCAAGAUGAUAGAUUUCACAGAUAGUGGCUUGGCCAUAAUUUGGUGAAUGAGCAUCACAGUAAUGAAAUAGCUUUCAGUAGUAGAGUACAUUAGAUACUUUGAAGGGUCUCCCUGCUCUCAUAUAGACAGAUUUUAGAUAAACUAUAACAAAUAUUAUUUAGAUUUUUCUUCUAGGCUCAUAAGAAAGUGGUUGUAUCAGCCGGGAGUGGUGGCUCAUGCCUAUAAUCCCAGCACUUUGGGAGGCCUACUCAGGCAGAUCACCUGAGGUCAGGAGUUCAAGACCAGCCUGGCCAACAUGGCAAAACCCUGUCUCUACUAAAAGUAUAAACAUUAGCCAGGCGUGGUGGUGGGUGCCUGUAAUCCCAGCUACUCAGGAGGCUGAGGCAGGAGAAUUGCUUGAAUCUGGGAGGCAGAGGUUACAGCGAGCCAUGAUCACGCCACUGCACUCCAGCCUGCGCAACAAGAGCGAGACUCUGUCUCAAAAAAAAAAAAGAAAGAAAGUGGUUGUAUCAGUGAGCUUUUGCUGCAUAACAAAUUAUCCCAAGACAUUUUCAGAUAAACUAAAUCUGACAGUGUGUCUGUCCUAUGACAGACAGUCACCAAAGGAACUUCUAAAGAAUGUACUGUAGGAAAAAGGAAAAUGACUGCAGAAGGAUGUCUUGAGGCAAGAAUGAAUUAUAAGCAAAGAAAUUUAUAAACACAUAAAUCUAUGCAAACAUUUAUUGCAUAAAAUCAUAAGAAUAAUGUCUAAUUUGGGGAACAAGGGAGAUAUAACCAAAAUACUGAACUAUUAGAAGGAAGUGAUCAGAUUUGGUAUCCUAAUGUCUUUGAAUUUUAUUGAGGGGAAGCAGAUGUUAAGAUAUUUUAUAAAAUUAGAUUUUGCAAAGUUGUCACUGGUUAAAUUUGAAGAGUAAACAAUAAAAUAAUAGAAAUGGAGUGUGAUUUUUAAAUCUGUAGAGGGGAACAAUGAAAUCUGAUAACAUGUCAACAAAUCAACCAAACGCAACUAAUCCAAGCAAAGGCAAGUAGAGGAGAAAGAAGGAAACAGAGGAGCCUGGACAAACAGAAAGCACAAAGAGAGAUGGUAGAAAUAAGUACAAAUAUAUCAUUAAUUACAAUGAAUAUGAAUGGAUUUAACUCUUCAGUUAAAAGACAGAGAUUGCCACCUUAAAUUUUUAAAACUCCAGCUGUAUUCCAUUUUCAAGAGACACAUAAAAAACCUCAGGAGAGCGCCAGGCCCAGUGGCUCACGCCUGUAAUCCCAGCACUUUGGGAGGCCGAGGGGGGCAGAUUGCCAGAACUCAGGAGUUUGAGACCAGCCUGGGCAACACGGUGAAACCCCGUCUCUACUAAAAUACAAAAAAUUAGCUGGGCAUGGCAGCGUGUGCCUGUAAUCCCAGCUACUCAGGAGGCUGAGGCAGGAGAAUUGCUUGAACCAGGGAGGUGUAGGUUGUAGUGAGCCAAGAUCAUGCCACUGCAUGCCAGCCUAGGCAACAGAGCAAGACUCCAUCUCAAAAAAAAAAAAAAAAUGACCAGGCGCAGUGGCUCACACCUGUAAUCCCAGCACUUCUUGAGGCUGAGGCCAGUGGAUCACGAGGUCAAGAUAUUGAUACCAUUCUGGCCAACAUGGUGAAACCCCGUCUCUACUACAAGUACAAAAAUUAGCCUGGCAUGGUGGCGCACCUGUAGUCCCAGCUACUCCGGAGUCUGAGGCAGGAGAAUCGCUUGAACCUGGGAGGCAGAGGUUGCAGUGAGCCGAGAUUGCGCCACUGCGCUCCAGCCUGGGUGACAGAGUGAGACUCUGUCUCAAAAAAAAAAAAACAAAACCCAAAAAACAAAAAAAAACCCUCAGGAGAGUGAAAUGUUGAAUUAAAAAGAUGGAAAGGGUUAUGUCAGGCAAAUUCUAAAGAGCAGAAAGCUGGGGUAACCUCGUUAAUAUCAAACAAACUAGCCUGUAGAUCAAAAUGCGUUAUUAAAGAUGAAUGCGGCCUGGACACAGUGGCUCAUGCCUGUAAUCCCAACACUUCGAGAGGCUGAAAUGGGAGAAUCAUUUGAGCCUAGGAGUUUGAGGCCAGCCUGGGCAAAAUAGUGAGACCCUGUCUCUAUGAUUUUUUUUUUUUUAAAUAACCAGGUGUUAUGGCAUGCACCUGUAGUCCCAGCUACUUGGGAGGCUGAGGCAGGAGGAUCACGUAUGCGCAGGAGUUGGAGGCUGCAAUGAACUAUGAUCACUUUACUGCACUGCAGCCUGAGUGACAGUGAGACCCCUGUCUCAGAAAAAAAAUAAGGUGAAGUGUGUCAGUGUAUGAUGAUAAAAUAUUCCGUUUUCCAGUAAGAUAGAAUAAUUAUUGGCCAGGCACAGUGGCUCACGCCUGUAAUCCCAGCAGUUUGGGAGGCCAAGGCGGGCAGAUCUCUUGAGGCUAGGAGUUCAAGACCAGCCUGGCCAACAUAGCGAAAGCCCAUGUCUACUAAAAAUACAACAACAACAAAAAACUAGCCAGGCACAGUGGUGCACACCUGUAGUCCCAGAUACUCAGGAGUCUAAGGCCCAAGAAUCACUUGAGCCCAGGUGGCGGAGGUUGCAGUGAGCCGAGAUCGCGCCACUGCACUACAGUUUGGGUGACAUAGUGAGACUCUUUCUCAAAAAAAAAAAAAAAAGAAGAAUUCUUAACUACUUAACUUGUAUGCAUUCUCAAAUCUGUCUUCUAACCUUCACUGUCACACUUGAGUUCAGACCUUCAUCCGCCCCUCUACUUCCAUCCUCAUUGCAGUUCAUUCUCCACUCAACAGACAGUGUGGUCAGCCUAAAAUUCAGAUGGCUUUUGAUGAGAAAGCCCCGAUUCCUGAGCUUGAUGGACCCCAUCUAGUGGAGUCUCACCUGCACUAGACCCAGCUCCCCCACCUCUAUACUCCAUCAUGGUGAAAGCUAUGCUUGGGUUCUCCAAAACACCACAUUUCCUCUGGUCUCCAGGCCUUUAAACAGCUGCUCCAUAUUCCUGGUCUGAUCUGUUUUUCUCUUACUUGCCUAGUUGGCUGACUCCAUCAGGGCUUGACUUCAAUGCCUUCUCCUCUGGGAAUCCUUCUUUGACCUUCCUCUUUUGGAUGGGGACUCAUCCUAUUCUGCUUUUAUGAACCCACCGUGUAUUUCCUAGCAAUAUUUCACAUUUUAUCAUUGCCUUUUUACUUGCCUGACUCCAGUGAGUAAGCUGUGAACACCUCGAAAGCAAGCACUGUGUCAUUCAUUCAUGAUGUCAACAAAUAUUUAUCAAGCACCUACUAUAUGCCAGGCAUUCUUCUAAGAGCUAGAGAUAGAGCAGUGAACAAAAAAGUUAAGCAAACACACCCCUGCCUUCAUGCCACUCUCAUUCUAGCCAAGGGAGCCAAACAACAAACUGGGUAGGUAAGGAAAAUAGAUGGUUUAAUAGAAGAUAAUAGGUGUUUGCAGAGAAGUAAAGCAAGGAGAAAGAUAGGGAGUAAGGGGUAGAUGUGAAAUUUUAAAUAAGAUGAUCAAGGGAAAGUCUCAGCAAGAAUAUGACAUUUGGCUGGUCACGAUGGCUCACGCCUGUAAUCCCAGCACUUUGGGAGGCCAAGGUGGGCAGAUCACCUGAGGUCAGAAGUUCAAGACCAGCCUGGCCAACCUGGUGAAACCUUGUCUCUACUAAAAAUAUAAAAAUUAGCUGGGCAUGGUGGCAGGUGCCUGUAAUCCCGGCUACUCUGGAGGCUAAGGCAGAAGAAUCACUUGAACUCAGGAGGUGGAGGUUGCAGUGAGCCAAGAUCGCGCCAUUGUACUCCAGCCUGGACGACAGAGUGAGACUCUAUCUCAAAAAAGAAAAAAAAAGAAUAUGACAUUUAAGCAGAAACUUGAAAGAGGUGAGAGAGUGAGCCAUUCAAACAUCUGGAGGAGGCACUCCUGGGUAUCUACCCAAAGAAAAAGGAGUCAUCCUAUCAAAAAGAUGCCUGCACUUGUAUGUUCAUCACAGCACUAUCCACAAUAACAAAUUCAUGGAAUUAACCUAAGUGCGCAUCAAGAGUGGAUGGGAUAAAGAAAACGUGGUGUAAGUGUAUAUAUAUAUGUGUGUGUGUGUGUGUGUUUGUGUGUAUAUAUAUAUAUAUAUAUAUAUAUAUAUAUACACAUACAUGUCAUGGAACACUAUGCAACCAUAAAAAAGAAUGAAAUCAUAUCCUUUGCAGCAACAUAGAUGUAGCUGGAGGCCAUUAUCCUAAGUGAAUUAACAAAGGAACAGAAAACCUAAUACCACAUGUUCUCACUUAUAAGUGGGAGCUAAACAUUGGACAUAGAAAUGGAAACAAUAGACACUGUGGACUACCAGAGUAGAGAGAGAGGGAGGAGGGUAAGGGUUGAAAAGUGCCUACUGGGUACUAUGUUUACUAUUUGGGUGAUGGGUUCAGUAGAAGCCCAAACCUCAGCAUUAUGCAAUAUAUCCAUGAUACAAAUAUGUACACUACCCCCUGAAUCUAAAAUUUUUAAAAAUAUAAAAAGAGAAAGAUACCUAAAGGAAGAGUAUUCAAGAGAGAAGGAACAGCCAGUGCAAAGGCUCUGAGCAGGAGCAGGCAUGGACGGUUCACAGAUCAGCAGGGAGGCGCAUGUGGCUGGAUUAAAUAAGAUGAUCAAGGAAAAGUCUCAGCAAACAAUAUGACAUGUGGCCGGAAGUUCUGGAAGCUCAGAAAGCUAUUAUUGGAUUGCAAGACCCAUCGCAAGGAUCUUGGACUUUUAUUUUGGGUGAGAUUGGAAGCUUCCAGAAGAUUUUCAGCAGAGAGAUGGCACACCCUGACUCCAAUUUAAAGUAACAUGAUUUUAAAUAAUAUAGUAUUUUAAAAGCAGUCACUCUGGAUGGUGUGUUGAUAAAAAGCUGAGGGAGGCAAGGAGGGGGAACUGGGGAACCAGUUAGGAGGCCAUUGCACUAACCUUAUCAAGAAAGGAAGUUGGCUUAGAACAGGGAGGUAGCUGUGGAGGUGAAAUCUGGAUAUGAUUUGCUAAUGGAUUGAAUAUGGUGGAUCAGAGAAAGGGGUAAGUAAGGUGUUUGGCCUAAGCAACUGUAAGGAUGGAGUUAUCAUUACCAAGAAGGAAUAGAUGCUGGAUGAGUGUAUGGGUGAUGGUGGUUACACAAGAGGAUCAGUUCAGUUGGGUCAUCUAAAUUUAAAAUGCUUAUUAGACAUCCAAGUGGUAUGUCAAGUAGGGAGCUGGAUAUACAAAGUUGGAAUUGAGGGAAAUUUUUGGUUUGGAGAUAGAAGUUUCAAACAGCCAAAUUAGCAUGCAAAUGCUAUUGAAAGCGCUGAGGAUGGAAAUAUCUCCAAGAAAGUGACUACAUAUAGGAGAAGUUAUAUCAACUGUACUCAGCACAGCGCCUGGGGGCAAUUGAAGUUUAUAAUUUAUAGAUCCUGGUUUAUUAGGCUGUUCUUGCCUUGUUUUAAAGAAAUACUGGAGACUGGGUAAUUUAUAAAGAAAAGAGGUUUAAUUGGCUUUUGGCUGUACAACAUCUGCUCAGCUUCUGGUGAGGCCUCAGGGAGCUUUUGCCCAUGACGGAAGGUGAAGCAGGAGCAGGCACAUCAAUGGGCAAGAGUGGGAAAAGGAGAGUGAGGUGAGAAGGUCCUAGACUUCUAAACAACCAGAUCUUGCAUUAACUAACUAAGCAAGAACUCAUUUAUCACCAAGGGGAUGGUGCUUAAACCAUUCAUAAGGGAUAUGGCCCCAUGAUACAGUUACCUCCCAUCAGACCCCAUCUCCAACACCGUCAAUCACAUUUCAACAUGAUAUUUGGAGGAGACAAACACUCAAACCGCAUCACCUGAUAACCUUUAAAAGAGCAAUUUCAAUAAAGUAACAAUGGCAGAAGUUAGGUUUCAAGGCAUUAAAGGUAUAAGAGAGAGGAAAUUCAAAUUAAGAGAUAAGUAGAGCUGUGGCUAGAGUCAUAACGAUCUGGUUAUAUUUGUAGCUUGAUUGAAGAAAUGAAAGAAAGGAGUGAAUAAUGGCUUAGGGUACCUACAGUGUGGGAAGAGGGUCAGAGACCGAAGGAAACGAGAGUGAAGGAAGACAGGUUUUUGAGAAGUAAGGGAGACAACUUUUCAACAAAAUGGAAAGUAAUAUUCUCUGAAGGCAGUAAGGGCCCAGGACACCAGGAUAGGAGAUUGAGGAGGAAGAACACAUUUUUAAAAAUCUAGACUGUGGCAGGGAUGGAAGGCAGUGUUGGUUGACAGAGAGUCACAUGAGGCAAAUGAAAAGAUGAGAAGGGCCCAGGCACAGUUGGAACACAGGUCUCCAGUGGGUGUGGUCAGUUGGCACCUGUCCCUGGCUGUGUGAAAGCAAAGACCAAGGAGACUCGUAAAACCUGCAGUUCAGAGUGACCAUGAGGUACCUGGGUGGUUGGUGUGAUCACAGAGGUGUAUUAAACACACUACUUGCACUGGCAAUGAACAUUCUGAAAAGGGAAUUAAGAGAACAAAACCAUUUACAAUAGCAUCAAAAAGGAUUAAAUGCUUAGGAAUAAAUUUAGCCAAAAAAAUGCAAGACAUGUACACUGAAAA
This is a long non-coding RNA of Pan troglodytes (chimpanzee), 16828 nucleotides long. RefSeq lists it as uncharacterized. Lineage: Eukaryota; Metazoa; Chordata; Mammalia; Primates; Hominidae. The transcript has 3 exons. The record is from RefSeq and is a predicted model, not a curated record.